UACGUAGGGUGCAAGCGUUGUCCGGAAUUACUGGGCGUAAAGGGCUCGUAGGCGGCCAACUAAGUCAGACGUGAAAUCCCUCAGCUUAACUGGGGAACUGCGUCUGAUACUGGAUGGCUUGGAUUCGGGAGAGGAAUGCGGAAUUCCAGGUGUAGCGGUGAAAUGCGUAGAUAUCUGGAGGAACACCGGUGGCGAAGGCGGCAUCCUGGACCGGCAUUGACGCUGAGGCGCGAAAGCCAGGGGAGCAAACGGG
This 253-nucleotide ribosomal RNA is filed under the name uncultured bacterium. RNAcentral describes it as "partial 16S ribosomal RNA". It matches the Rfam family "Bacterial small subunit ribosomal RNA", at positions 524 to 776 of the family's 1533-position model. The record is from RNAcentral.